Molecule: ribosomal RNA, 483 nt
Filed under: uncultured bacterium
Lineage: Bacteria
Description: partial 16S ribosomal RNA
Rfam family: Bacterial small subunit ribosomal RNA
Source: RNAcentral
AUUGAACGCUGGCGGCAGGCCUAACACAUGCAAGUCGAGCGGAUGAAGGGAGCUUGCUCCUGGAUUCAGCGGCGGACGGGUGAGUAAUGCCUAGGAAUCUGCCUGGUAGUGGGGGAUAACGUCCGGAAACGAGCGCUAAUACCGCAUACGUCCUGAGGGAGAAAGUGGGGGAUCUUCGGACCUCACGCUAUCAGAUGAGCCUAGGUCGGAUUAGCUAGUUGGUGGGGUAAAGGCCUACCAAGGCGACGAUCCGUAACUGGUCUGAGAGGAUGAUCAGUCACACUGGAACUGAGACACGGUCCAGACUCCUACGGGAGGCAGCAGUGGGGAAUAUUGGACAAUGGGCGAAAGCCUGAUCCAGCCAUGCCGCGUGUGUGAAGAAGGUCUUCGGAUUGUAAAGCACUUUAAGUUGGGAGGAAGGGCAGUAAGUUAAUACCUUGCUGUUUUGACGUUACCAACAGAAUAAGCACCGGCUAACUUCGU